This 253-nucleotide ribosomal RNA is filed under the name uncultured bacterium. RNAcentral's name for it is "partial 16S ribosomal RNA". It matches the Rfam family "Bacterial small subunit ribosomal RNA", at positions 524 to 776 of the family's 1533-position model. The record is from RNAcentral.
UACGGAGGGUGCAAGCGUUAUCCGGAUUCACUGGGUUUAAAGGGUGCGUAGGCGGGCAUGUAAGUCCGUGGUGAAAUCUCCGAGCUUAACUCGGAAACUGCCAUGGAUACUAUGUGUCUUGAAUGUUGUGGAGGUGAGCGGAAUAUGUCAUGUAGCGGCGAAAUGCUUAGAUAUGACAUAGAACACCAAUUGCGAAGGCAGCUCACUACACAAAUAUUGACGCUGAGGCACGAAAGCGUGGGGAUCAAACAGG